RNAcentral lists this transfer RNA (75 nucleotides) under Chloroflexota bacterium. RNAcentral describes it as "Chloroflexi bacterium (groundwater metagenome) tRNA-Val". It matches the Rfam family "tRNA". Rfam says of the family: Transfer RNA (tRNA) molecules are approximately 80 nucleotides in length. Their secondary structure includes four short double-helical elements and three loops (D, anti-codon, and T loops). Further hydrogen bonds mediate the characteristic L-shaped molecular structure. tRNAs have two regions of fundamental functional importance: the anti-codon, which is responsible for specific mRNA codon recognition, and the 3' end, to which the tRNAs corresponding amino acid is attached (by aminoacyl-tRNA synthetases). tRNAs cope with the degeneracy of the genetic code in two manners: having more than one tRNA (with a specific anti-codon) for a particular amino acid; and 'wobble' base-pairing, i.e. permitting non-standard base-pairing at the 3rd anti-codon position. The record is from RNAcentral. Lineage: Bacteria; Bacillati; Chloroflexota.
GGGCGGUUAGCUCAGUUUGGUUAGAGCGCAGCGUUGACAUCGCUGAGGUCAUAGGUUCGAGCCCUAUACCGCCCA